AUGACUGUCAUAAGGAAAUAUGAUGCAGCCUUACUAAACAAUAUUUCUCAGUGGAGUGAAGAAAGCAAUAUUUAUUUUUGGAGUCAGUUCCCCAGAUCUUGGAUAUCCUGUCUGGAGAUAGCCAUGGUAGCAUAUGCCUGUGAUUCCAGCACUCAAGAGACAGAGGCAGGAGGAUUGACAUGAGUUCCAGACCAGCCUGGGCUACAUCGUGAGUUCAAAAUCAUCCUGAACUACAUAAUAAGGUGAGAGACAGUGUCUCAAAAGCCUAAGAAAAAUAAAAAAAAAAUAUUUUUCAUUAAUAUCUCAGAUGUAUUUCAGAAUAUAUUCAGAAAAAUAUAUUUCAGAUGUAUUUUUCAGAAGCAAAUCAAACUACAGCAUUAAGUGAUCAUGAAUGAUAGUCCUAAGAAAUUUUCUCUGGCCAGC
Molecule: long non-coding RNA, 423 nt
Filed under: Fukomys damarensis (Damara mole-rat)
Lineage: Eukaryota; Metazoa; Chordata; Mammalia; Rodentia; Bathyergidae
Description: lncRNA (ENSFDAG00000028730.1)
Source: RNAcentral